RNAcentral lists this ribosomal RNA (848 nucleotides) under Weissella cibaria. RNAcentral describes it as "bacterial SSU rRNA". It matches the Rfam family "Bacterial small subunit ribosomal RNA", at positions 31 to 866 of the family's 1533-position model. Lineage: Bacteria; Bacillati; Bacillota; Bacilli; Lactobacillales; Lactobacillaceae. The record is from RNAcentral.
GAACGCUUUGUGGUUAACUGAUUUGAAGAGCUUGCUCAGAUAUGACGAUGGACAUUGCAAAGAGUGGCGAACGGGUGAGUAACACGUGGGAAACCUACCUCUUAGCAGGGGAUAACAUUUGGAAACAGAUGCUAAUACCGUAUAACAAUAGCAACCGCAUGGUUGCUACUUAAAAGAUGGUUCUGCUAUCACUAAGAGAUGGUCCCGCGGUGCAUUAGUUAGUUGGUGAGGUAAUGGCUCACCAAGACGAUGAUGCAUAGCCGAGUUGAGAGACUGAUCGGCCACAAUGGGACUGAGACACGGCCCAUACUCCUACGGGAGGCAGCAGUAGGGAAUCUUCCACAAUGGGCGAAAGCCUGAUGGAGCAACGCCGCGUGUGUGAUGAAGGGUUUCGGCUCGUAAAACACUGUUGUAAGAGAAGAAUGACAUUGAGAGUAACUGUUCAAUGUGUGACGGUAUCUUACCAGAAAGGAACGGCUAAAUACGUGCCAGCAGCCGCGGUAAUACGUAUGUUCCAAGCGUUAUCCGGAUUUAUUGGGCGUAAAGCGAGCGCAGACGGUUAUUUAAGUCUGAAGUGAAAGCCCUCAGCUCAACUGAGGAAUUGCUUUGGAAACUGGAUGACUUGAGUGCAGUAGAGGAAAGUGGAACUCCAUGUGUAGCGGUGAAAUGCGUAGAUAUAUGGAAGAACACCAGUGGCGAAGGCGGCUUUCUGGACUGUAACUGACGUUGAGGCUCGAAAGUGUGGGUAGCAAACAGGAUUAGAUACCCUGGUAGUCCACACCGUAAACGAUGAGUGCUAGGUGUUUGAGGGUUUCCGCCUCUAAGUGCCGCAGCUAACGCAUUAAGCA